GGGUAGCACUGCUGUCUCGCAGGGAGUCACGUCUCUGGUGUUCCCUGCCCGUAGUUGGCAUGUUUCCCUGCUGGGUUUCCACACUGAGCUCCCAUCUGCCAUUUAAAUAAACUACGGUAGGAUACUUCGACAAAGUGGAACAAAUCGUCAGGUCUCCAGGAACUCGUGUAUUAAAGUGAAUGACAGGCCUCCUCGUCCACGACACAACUGCCAACAACAUUUCCACCCGUGGCGUGUCUCAGUACCUCCAACAGAACCGUUAGCCUUCUCGCCGUCUCUGCAGGUGGAUCCCCAAGCGGGGUUACCUGUCCAUCACCAUUAAGGACCCGCCCCCAGCCUAUAAAGAUCAUUCUAAAUGCACUCUGGUUUAUUUUGGUGGGAUUUCUCUGAGAAGCCCUCCAGUGAGGACAACUAACCCUAGCUGCAGUGCCCAGUACUGGCAUCGCUCCUUCUGGUCAGGGCCCUAUAAAGCUGGAUGGUCCUCGAGACUGGUGUCUGCCUUUGGACCCGCAACCCAUUCUGGAGACAACUCCGACAAGCUGCCUGUGCCUCCCUCACUUGGGAAACCUUUAUUUGUUGGGUUACUCAAGCCGUCUAGUUUGUUUUUACCAUACACAAAGUUUUUGUUUGUUUUUCUUCUUAAAUGGCGUCACCCAGCUAGUUCUGCUAUUCUGUCUCUAUAUAUAUAUAUAUAUAUUGUGGCUGACGGCCGGGGCCCUUAACCAGCCAGGACGCCUCCAAGCUGUGAGGACCGGGAGAGCAAACGUGGCCAGAGCGUUACCUCCUGGGUUGCAGCAGUGCCUAGGAUUCCCGCAGGGCUCCAUUUGAGUUGGAGUUUGGUGCAGCCCUGUUGGGAUCUGUGGGCGCUGCCAGGGGAUGCUAUAGAAGUUGCUGAGCCCUCCUGCGCGGUUCUUCCGCCACACCUGGAAGUGCUGUCAGAAUUAGGCCAUCAAGCACCCGGAGCACUUCCGGGUGCCUUAUAAAAGGGGCCAGCAAACGCUACUCCGGGAGCCUGAGUCGG
Polypterus senegalus (gray bichir) is the source of this 1021-nucleotide long non-coding RNA. RefSeq lists it as uncharacterized. The record is from RefSeq and is a predicted model, not a curated record. The transcript has 3 exons. Lineage: Eukaryota; Metazoa; Chordata; Cladistia; Polypteriformes; Polypteridae.